ACGUAGGAGGCGAGCGUUGUCCGGAGUUACUGGGCGUAAAGCGCGCGCAGGCGGUCACGCAGGUCAUCUGUGAAAGCACCCGGCUCAACCGGGUUGUUGCGGGUGAAACCGCGUGACUUGAGGUCGGGAGGGGUCGGUGGAAUUCCCGGUGUAGUGGUGAAAUGCGUAGAGAUCGGGAGGAACACCCGUAGCGAAGGCGGCCGACUGGACCGAUCCUGACGCUGAGGCGCGAAGGCCAGGGGAGCGAACGGGA
Molecule: ribosomal RNA, 253 nt
Filed under: uncultured prokaryote
Description: partial 16S ribosomal RNA
Rfam family: Bacterial small subunit ribosomal RNA
Source: RNAcentral